CUUCAGAUGAUGAUCCCAAGCCUUCUGGCGUUCUGUUCAUCAAAUUUCAAAAGCGUUUAAGAAACAGGUAAAAAGCGUUUAAGCAGAUAUAAAGCGUUUAAGCAGAUAUAAAGCGUUUAAGAAACAUAUAAAGAAGGUGUUUAAGAAACAUAUCUGUUUCUUAAACAUAUCUUUUGUUUUCUUUUAUCUGUCCCGAGGAAGGUUUUUACCGAUUUACUCCUGAGGGCUUGUAGCUCAGUUGGUUAGAGCGCGCGCUUGAUAAGCGUGAGGUCGGAGGUUCAAGUCCUCCCAGGCCCACCAAUUUAUGAUUGCUGAUAAGUUUGCUGAUAAGUUUUUUGCGAAUGUUUUGAUGGUCUUUUAUCUUACGAUCUUUCACUUUUAUGUUGCAAUCUUUCAAAAGUAUUUGAACUGUUUUAGGGGCCGUAGCUCAGCUGGGAGAGCACCUUCUUUGCAAGCAGGGGGUCGUCGGUUC
This 472-nucleotide unclassified non-coding RNA is filed under the name Bartonella chomelii. Its description in RNAcentral is "partial 16S-23S ribosomal RNA intergenic spacer". The stretch from base 224 to 297 matches the Rfam family "tRNA". The record is from RNAcentral. Lineage: Bacteria; Pseudomonadati; Pseudomonadota; Alphaproteobacteria; Hyphomicrobiales; Bartonellaceae.